RNAcentral lists this long non-coding RNA (1789 nucleotides) under Malus domestica (apple). RNAcentral's name for it is "long non-coding RNA (MDOM_LNC006343)". Lineage: Eukaryota; Viridiplantae; Streptophyta; Magnoliopsida; Rosales; Rosaceae. The record is from RNAcentral.
CUCUCUCUCCUCCUUCACGAUUUCUCACUCUCUCUGUCUCUCUCUCCUUCGAACUCACUGACCAACUUCAAAAACACCCUAAAACUUCCACCAACGUCAAGUUUGAGACCACCAUUGGAAUCCUGAGAACUUCACGAUCACGUGGGUACUAAAUUCAGGCUAAAACAAGCUCACAGUGAGCUUAAGGAAGUCCCAAGGAAGCUCGGAGUGCUUGGUUGGAAGUUUUUGGACGUAAGAAUACGGAGAUCGACAAGUUCAAAGUUUGGCCGGAGCUUUCGAGGCAUUUUCCGGCGAAUCCCCGGCGAGUUAGGAGUCGAGUUUCCGGCGACCUCUGAGGCUUUCGAGGCAGUUUCCGGCCAAACCACGGCGAACUAGGUGUUGUGCAAGGCGGCGAUCGUCAUGACGCCUUGAUGUGUGGUGCUAGGGAGUUGUUGGACGAACUCCAGGUGAGUGGGCAGUUUUGUUUUCCGUAUAUAUAUAUACUUGACGUUUCCCAUGCAUAUGAGUUAUGUGGAAAAACGGGAAGUGAAAUACCAUGCAUAGAAUUGAUAUGAAAAGUAUAUAGAAAUGUGAGUUGAAAUGCCAUGCAUGAAUUAAUAUAUGAUGCAUAUGUAUGAAUUAGUGCGGUGGACGCACAUGUAAGAAUUGAUUUAUGAUGCAUAUGUAUGAAAUGGUGCGGUGGACGCACAGGUGAGUAUUUAUUUCUGUUAUGAUGAUGUUGAUGUAUAUUGAGCUCAAAUCCUGCACCAUAGUUUAGUGCUUAUAGUAUUCACCGCAUCGCACGCUCGCCUUGGAUCCAAGUAGAUGCUAGUCGUACAGUCCACGCGGAGUGGGUACGACAGACCAGUCCCGAGAAUGUUAGUGAGAUUCCGACUGGUGGGUGACCUUAGAUUAUGUGCACAGAUGAUUUAUGAGAAGCACUAGAGCGUAACUUGUGUGCAGAAGGCCGGACAGGUCACAGAGGUGACUCCGGCAGAGUGAGAGUGAUAGAUUUUGAGCUCUAGGUUCAACCGUACAGGGCCAUUAGUAGAGGGCCUCCGGUUGAUUACUUUCUUGCACCUGAUAUGAUUAUUGUUGAUGCAUCCAUACUUAACUGUUGAAUUAGACAUGGCAUGGCAUAUUUGUAAAGAAAAAUGUAGUUGAGAUAGUAAAAAUGAAGUUUUGAGAAUAUAUAUGUAUAUUUAUAUUUUACAUUUCUGGGAAAGUAUACAGGUUUUACGGAGAGGGGUUACAACGUUUUGAGAAAUGUUUGGAUUUGGAAAAGAAUUGUUUUACUGACCCACUCAAUUUUGGUUUUGCGCCCCUCCAGGUUCAGGAAUCACAAAGGUGUGGUGACUACGAGGAAUUCGACGGUGUUCUGACAGAUUGGACAAAAUUAGGACUCACCUUCGGGUGUAUCAACUUAAAUUGUAUCUUAAAGCUUCCGUACUGUGCAAAUGGUUACGUCACUCUCACGUGACGGCCAGCAUGCCCUCCUUCGGAACGGGGUGUGUCAAAACAUGUCUUUUUUUUUUUUUAUAUAAUAGGUUAUAAUAAUUUUAUGAAUUUUUAAGAUGAAACAUAGAUAAACACGAGAACUAAAUUAAUCAAAAAACUACAACACAUGAACCAUUUUAACAUUUAUGCAAAUAUAUAAUUUUCACGUGCUAAUUAUGAGAAAUUUGUGUAUGACCGCAGCAUACAACCUCCCUCGUAUUCUCACAUUAAAAUUUACCCUACAUUGUAUCACAUUAAAUUUGAUUAUUAAUAAUUAAUUCGAAUCAAUAAAUAUAUAUAUUUUUUUCAUUUG